RNAcentral lists this long non-coding RNA (1843 nucleotides) under Piliocolobus tephrosceles (Ugandan red Colobus). Its description in RNAcentral is "lncRNA (ENSPTEG00000029688.1)". The record is from RNAcentral. Lineage: Eukaryota; Metazoa; Chordata; Mammalia; Primates; Cercopithecidae.
CUUAGACUCAAGAUGUGCUUUGAGUCUAACUCCUUUGUCCUCAGGACCCUUACUGGAGCCAAGGAAUGCGUGAGAAGUGCCUCCGGGCCCAGCCAGAAGGAAGGUCACGUUGUUUUGAGAUCCCAUAUGCUGCACUGAACACGCGUGAGGUCCCUGUCGGCGCCCUGGCCGUCCAGCGGUAUCUGCCCCAUUUAUUCACAGCCUGAGCGCCCCUGCAUGACACACUGGGCAGUGCCGGGUGUCGGGCCUGCAGCAAGGCACAGUCAGCCAGGCCUUGGAGUCCAUGGAGAGCGAGGACUGCUGUGGACCAGUCAGUGACCGCCAGGGCCCAAAUGUUGGUGGUGACCUCAGCAAUAUCAGCCUUGGAAGAGCGGACACCGGAUGGAAGUGGGCCAGAAGGAGUAUGAAUGUGAAGAGGCAGAGAAACAGGGGGUCGAAAAGUCUCCUGAAACCUGUCUGUGAAGGGCAAAACAGGAGCUGCAGCCACAGAAGCCACCGCGUGAAACAAGGCAGGAGCUGGGAACGCCUGUGUGGCCCAGGCCUCAGCGGCUUCCGGGUGCAGGAGAGAAGAGGUCAGCUCAACAAAAUCAUGUACACAUUGCAAGCCUUCAUCCCAACCGACGCCAAGGACAGUGACAUUGACACCAUCCAGUUUGCCCCUCGUUAGCGAAGCAGGAAGAAGGACUGAGUUAUAGCAGCUCUUAUCCUUUGAGAGCCUGCAUACCUCUCAGAGGUAAAUCACAGUGGAGCCAGGAGGAACUGCUUGCAGGCAGUGAGGCCAGCUGGCAGCCGGCAGUGUGUGCCACCCGUGCUGGCCGGCAGCUGGAGGACAGGGCCCAGGCUUCCCUCUGUGCCUUCGUGCUGGGAGCCCUGGACAUGGAUACAAAGGAAUGCAAAUUAGUGGCAGAGUAAAAACGAUGGGGACCCAGCACAUGCCCAGUGUCCUUGUGAGCAGGACGAGGUUCCUUUGCUGGGGCUACCGUUUCCCUCAUGGCCUUCCUUGUGCUGCAGAAAAUGAUGGGAGUACAGGGCUCUGCAGCCAAGAAAUAGAUGCAAACUGUAAAUCAAAGGCAUCAAAUGUAUGAAUGGAGAGAAAAUGCACUUUGGCUGUAAGAUGAGACAUCUGUUGGGCUCCAUAUAAUAUAAUUAACAACUGGAACCAAGCUGGAGGGAAGGCGGUUGGAGCCCCUUUGGGAAAAUGCCCCAUGUGUAUCAGGCUGACCUCAUGAUGCCUUAGGAAGAUAUUUACAGGGUCACCCGAGACCACCAGGAAGGAAGAGGCUCAUGCUUUUGGGAGGUGAUGUGCAGUAUUCAAAAAUGUUCAGUUUGUCACAGAUAAAGGAGAAAGGGCCGGGGUUAGUUUCUUACACAGAGGAGCGGAUCUUUUCUACUCAGUUAUCCUCUUUCCAUGAUGGAAUUCUGCAUGAACCCUUCCUCACUGUGCUUUCCAGAUACCUUCAGUUUCCUGAUGUAUCUGUCCUUUCACCAAAGGUUUGCUGCUCUGAGACGGGUAUGCUGUGGGUCCUUGCCUUCCAUCAGAUUAGACCAGGGUCCCCCGGGCAGGCUGCAAUGGGUCCUCUGCCCACACCAGGGACCAAGCCCAGAGCCCAUCACCUUCCCAGUGCAGCCCUCAAGUAGAAGGCCCCUCAGUUCUUGGAGAUGAGAGGUUCACACUGCUGUCUUAAGGAAGCCUACUGAUUUCAGACUUAGGGCUAAUUUUGAGUCAAAGGACCAGACUUUACAGGUAAUGUUACAGAGUUAAUGUGAGUUUUAUGGCAAUCCGGGGAAAUGGCCUUCAUUUAAUUGAAAUUGCCAUGGUGUGCUCUUAAAAAAUAAACACGAA